RNAcentral lists this ribosomal RNA (253 nucleotides) under uncultured bacterium. RNAcentral's name for it is "partial 16S ribosomal RNA". It matches the Rfam family "Bacterial small subunit ribosomal RNA", at positions 524 to 776 of the family's 1533-position model. The record is from RNAcentral.
UACAGAGGGGGCAAGCGUUGUUCGGAAUCAUUGGGCGUAAAGCGCGUGUAGGCGGCCCGGUAAGUCCGCUGUGAAAGUCGGGGGCUCAACCCUCGGAUGCCGGUGGAUACUGUCGGGCUAGAGUGCGGAAGAGGCGAGUGGAAUUCCUGGUGUAGCGGUGAAAUGCGCAGAUAUCAGGAGGAACACCAAUUGCGAAGGCAGCUCGCUGGGACGUGACUGACGCUGAGACGCGAAAGCGUGGGGAGCAAACAGG